This 253-nucleotide ribosomal RNA is filed under the name uncultured bacterium. RNAcentral describes it as "partial 16S ribosomal RNA". It matches the Rfam family "Bacterial small subunit ribosomal RNA", at positions 524 to 776 of the family's 1533-position model. The record is from RNAcentral.
UACGAAGGGGGCUAGCGUUGCUCGGAAUCACUGGGCGUAAAGGGUGCGUAGGCGGGUCUUUAAGUCAGGGGUGAAAUCCGGCAGCUCAACUGUCGCAGUGCCUUUGAUACUGUGGAGCUAGAGGGAGGUAGGGGUCUGUGGAACUUCCGGUGGAGCGGUGAAAUGCGUUGAUAUCGGAAGGAACGCCGGUGGCGAAAGCGACGGACUGGAUCUCUUCUGACGCUGAGGCGCGAAAGCCAGGGGAGCAAACGGG